Molecule: long non-coding RNA, 1299 nt
Filed under: Sus scrofa (pig)
Lineage: Eukaryota; Metazoa; Chordata; Mammalia; Artiodactyla; Suidae
Source: RNAcentral
AUGCCACACAUUCUGCUUCCCAGACCCCUGCCUGGGAAGAGUGGGACUCCACAGGUCUGGGGGAAGCCUGGGAGUGGCACCUAUGAGCAGCUGCCUCAGAGAUUCUUAAUCAUUUUACAGAUACCUCCAGAGCACUUAACCAUGUGCUCUGCCGGUCUCUGGGGACACAGAGAUGCAUGGCUCUUGGGACAGUCGCAUUGGGAAGAUCCCGUCUGCUCAGAGCUCAGCUGCUGGCUGCUUCCUCCAUCAAACCCUCACCCAAGGCCUGUCUCAGGCAGAAGCACCUGUCACCCCAGCCUUGACACCGGGCCAAUUAUCUUAGACACCUGGAUGAGACAACAGCCUGGAUCAUCCCCCUCAGGCCACAACACCAGCACAAGGUCCAGACCACCGCCAGGCAGACCUCAGUGCCUGAGAUGCCGGGAUGGCAUCUUGCUUUGCCUAAGUGGGUUCUGACACGUCGCUGUUUCUUCUCAUUAAAAAGAAAAACAAAAACACAAAUCUAAGUAAUGUGUGCCCAGCACCCACCACAGAUGUUUGUGUCUUCAGCGUGUGCAUGUCAGGUAAACCCAUCCACGGGAGCCCAGAGUCAGCCCAUACUGAGAGGUCAAACCAGGGACAGGGUGCUCUUAGGGUCAUGGACAUAACGGACGUCAAACAGGUUUGAGACAUCGCCACAGCCUUUAUUUCUUGCUUCCGGCAAAGCGGUUUUCUGAUGAAGCAGGACAAAAGCCACUACUCCCUGUGGCGGCCUAGGGCCCUGGAGUUGGACACAAGCAUGGCAGAUAGCUAAGCUCAAACUUAAGCUCUAUUUGCCUGCUUCCUCCCAACCCCGCCCCCUUCCCACAACCCCGCCCCUUCCCACAACCCCGCCCCCUCCAUAACCCCGCCCCUUUCCUCCAACCCUGCUCCACUCACAACAGCCAGAGCGAGCAUUAAUCAAGGCCAUAACCCCAGUGCUCGCUUAGGCAGCACAUAUGCUAAAUACAGAGAAAAUUAACGUUGCCCCCGUGCAAGGAUGACACACAAGUUUGUGAAGGGGUCCGUGUUUUUACUUAUAUGUGAAAUCUAAAAUACAGCACAGAACCAUGAGGUUGCGGGUUGGAUCCCUGGCCUCGUUCCGGCGUUGCGGUGAGCUAUGGGGUAGGUCACAGAUGUGGCUCAGAUCCGGCACUGAUGUGGCUGUGGCGUAGGCUGGCAGCUGUAGCUCCCGUUGGACCCCUAUCCUGGAACGUCCAUAUGCUGUGGGUGAGGCCCUAAAAAGCAAAAAAAAAAAAUAAAAUAAAAUAAAAUAUGGCA